Molecule: ribosomal RNA, 465 nt
Filed under: Vreelandella stevensii
Lineage: Bacteria; Pseudomonadati; Pseudomonadota; Gammaproteobacteria; Oceanospirillales; Halomonadaceae
Description: partial 16S ribosomal RNA
Rfam family: Bacterial small subunit ribosomal RNA
Source: RNAcentral
CCUACGGGUGGCUGCAGUGGGGAAUAUUGGACAAUGGGCGAAAGCCUGAUCCAGCCAUGCCGCGUGUGUGAAGAAGGCCUUCGGGUUGUAAAGCACUUUCAGUGGGGAAGAAAGCCUUGGGGCUAAUACCCUCGAGGAAGGACAUCACCCACAGAAGAAGCACCGGCUAACUCCGUGCCAGCAGCCGCGGUAAUACGGAGGGUGCGAGCGUUAAUCGGAAUUACUGGGCGUAAAGCGCGCGUAGGCGGUCUGAUAAGCCGGUUGUGAAAGCCCCGGGCUCAACCUGGGAACGGCAUCCGGAACUGUCAGGCUAGAGGGCAGGAGAGGAAGGUAGAAUUCCCGGGGUAGCGGUGAAGUGCGGAGAGAUCGGGAGGAAUACCAGUGGCGAAGGCGGCCUUCUGGACUGACACUGACGCUGAGGUGCGAAAGCGUGGGUAGCAAACAGGAUUAGAUACCCGGGUAGUC